This 236-nucleotide ribosomal RNA is filed under the name Ditylum brightwellii. RNAcentral describes it as "partial Bacterial large subunit ribosomal RNA". It matches the Rfam family "Bacterial large subunit ribosomal RNA", at positions 2629 to 2876 of the family's 2925-position model. The record is from RNAcentral. Lineage: Eukaryota; Bacillariophyta; Thalassiosirophyceae; Lithodesmiales; Lithodesmiaceae.
GUUCGGUCCCUAUCUGGCGUGGGUGUCGGAGUAUUGAGAGGAUCUGUCCCUAGUACGAGAGGACCGGGAUGGACGUACCUCUGGUGGACCUGUUGUGGCGCCAGCCGCAGUGCAGGGUAGCUAUGUACGGAACGGAUAACCGCUGAAGGCAUCUAAGCGGGAAACCAGCCUCAAAACGAGUACUCCCUCGAGAGCCGUGGAAGACCACCACGUUGAUAGGCCGGGUGUGCAAGUGC